RNAcentral lists this small RNA (110 nucleotides) under unclassified sequences. RNAcentral's name for it is "COG3943 RNA". It matches the Rfam family "COG3943 RNA". Rfam says of the family: cow rumen. Environment (Cow rumen (57)) The record is from Rfam by way of RNAcentral.
CGCGCUCCACACAGAUAAAUUAAUCUGAGCAUGAGGCCAUCCAACGGAGGAUGUAACACCAGUAGUUAAGUUGCUUGGGAUAUAGCAAACGUUGACUACAUCCAUGGUGU